RNAcentral lists this long non-coding RNA (1018 nucleotides) under Heterocephalus glaber (naked mole-rat). RNAcentral's name for it is "lncRNA (ENSHGLG00100048886.1)". Lineage: Eukaryota; Metazoa; Chordata; Mammalia; Rodentia; Bathyergidae. The record is from RNAcentral.
CUUCGAGCGGGAGGUUGGAUUCUGGCUGUGGCUGUGCUGUGAGCUCCACCGAGCUGAGCCGUGGGAUGGGACACAGGCUCAGCAGUGACUUGGUGCUUGCGGGGGGCGUGGCCUUUGUGCCGCAGUUGAAGCCUGAUGCACGGACCCCUAUGCUGCUUUCUCCUGGCCGUGUCAGCACGAAGCCAGUGGAUGUCACAGCCGUUCCACAGCCAGGAAGCAGCAGAUAUUUCGGAGAACCCUUCCAGACCACAGUCCACUCACUCCUGAAAUGACCCAGGGUUUGAGAGUCGGCUCCGGUGACAACGAGGUGUCUGGGCUGAGGAGCUGAGCCCGGGACAGCAGCAGGAGCCAGCAGCAGGAGCCAGGGCUGCUGUGCGCCCUGCUCAGAUUUUCAGAUUUGGAAGCAAUGGAGAGCAAAUGAUGUUUCUUAUAAGAUGGUCCACCAGAAGCCAGCUUCCCUAGUGAAAUGCUGCCUUGUCAGUGUCCUCUGUUAGUGAUUCCUGCAAACUAGAGACACUAAAUAGAUGCAGUUAGCAGCUUUGACCUGGCCUCAACUGCAGAAACCAACAAUACUUUCCCGGACUGAACUUCCUUCCUUUAGUGAAGUAACAAUCAGCAGAGAGCCACAAAUGACUGAGGACAUAAUACUCAUUUACUGAUUGUCACCAGUCACUGUGAUUAAACUAAUGCAUGUGAUUUCAAAUAAACCUUUUUACAACAGUAUUCAGAACAAUAGUUUAUUAAACUGUUUCUUAUAUACAAAGAUUUUAUUUGUCCAACAAUCAGCCUUCCAACAACAUCAAGCCCAGGCAAAAGCACAGGUAUAGAAAAUGAAGAACAGCAGCGUAUACCCAAGAGACCUCUGAAAACCCUUUGUUCCAACUCGAUGUAGCAGCCUUUAGCUGCUGGAAUCUGCUUACUGCAUAUUCUUCUGAGGCCCGAGACAGCGGCCCACAGGCUAUAGUCAGCUCAGUCAGAUGAGGCUUUUGCGGUAGGAAAGCAGGGCAGCGUGGCACCA